GACGCGCGCCGCCUCCUGUUAAAGGGGGAGCAGCGCCAGCCGAGCCAAGCGCGCCCUCCCCCUCCUCACCCUGGGCCCCAGGCGCCGGCGCGGGAGAAGCCUGGGGUAAGCCCCCGCCCUGCCGGUGACCGCCUGGACCGCAGAGUGAGCCUAACCGCGGUACCCCUCCAGCGAUACCCCUGGCCAGUAGCGUCUGGCGCAGCCAGGGUCUCCCGAUCUGCGGAGGCUAAAGCAUUUUCUCCCCCUCCCCAAUAUGCAGUGCAUAUUGCGUGUCCCUGAGCAUGCAGGUGCCACUCGUGCACUGAACUUUGCAUAUGCAUACAGGUGCCCUGCGUGUACACUGCAAUAUUGCCUGACUGGGUGCAUGCAAAUGCUGCACAUAUGCAUAGUGCAUUGACAUGAGCUCAGGUCCUGAAUGCAUGCUGCUUUUUCCUUGUGCCUUAAGAAUACUGUAUGUGUAGAAGCUCACAGGUGCCAUAUGUGUGCAGAACGCUGUGGGUAAUUCGUAUGUAGAAACAACAGAAGUACCCCGCAGCGUGGCAUGUUUACUGCAUAUUCUGGUGUUAAUCGCUGUGGUGUUGCAUGUCCCUAGGCACGGGGAUGCUACACGUGUGCAGUAUGUUACAUGUUUUCCCAAGUCUCUUCUCCCACAAGUGCCUUUCUUUGUGCCAGGGGCGCCCCCAUGUUGCAUCUGUUUAUGUAGAAGCCACAGAGAUGCACAGACCCACCCCAUCCUGGCCAUGUGCCCAGGAACAGUUGGGUGGGGCCUAAGCCCACAUGGCUCAGGCGGUACCCAGAUUGAUGCCCAUGGCUCAGGGCUCUGGUCAGGAGGCUUGUGGCCUGGGCGUGUUGCCACCGGGAAGGUGGGCCGACUGGGGACACACCGCAGCAGCCAAAACAAGUAGGUUAAUCCGAUGACUCUGGGCAGAGAAGCCAGCAGGGGGCAGCUUUGCAACGAGGGUGGAAUGAUUUCGGGACAUACUUUGGAAGGUUCACACACGUGGAAAGGCCAGUCCUGUAAGGAUACGGUGAUCCUCAGCCCAUCCGUUGCUAACUUCACCUUUCCCCAUGAUAACUCGAGUUUUGUCACCCACAGACGGGCAAGAUGAUAAAAGCCCACAUCUUCUCAGAGGGGUUACCAGAACGAGGCAGAGAACUUCCUCUGUAGCCUUCCUCUGCCCCUCCCCGCUGAAACAGUCCUGGUGACAUUUGUUGUGAGUGAUUGGGAGACAUUAUCGACUUUAAUGGAAGGAGGCACUGGGACACAGCCUAUCAGCAAGUUUAUGUCUUCCUCUACCUCCAAAAAUAUCCCCAGUGUACCCACUCUUCAGAGCACCUCUGCCAACAACUGAGUCCAAGUGUGUGGAUUCUCAAACCACACCCCUGGGUUCCUACUCCUAUCUCUCUCGUGCCAGGACACUCUCCUGGGCUCACUGAACUAUCCCUUCAAUGUAAACACAAGUUCCUCUUCUUAUAGUCCCAAACUAUGCAUGUCCUUGUCCCUGUCAGCCCCUCCAGGCCCAUUCUCCUCCUCUCACUCCACAUGCCCUGAGCCCCAACUGGCCCCAUGACCUUCUCGAUGUUUAUGGAAACCUCCAAACUAGUCCCUAGCAGUUCCCAUGGCUCACCCCUUCUGAUCAGCUUUUGUAUUACUUUCCUGACUGCCCCUCUUAAAUCACCCCUGCCCCCAUUGUUCA
This is a long non-coding RNA of Mesocricetus auratus (golden hamster), 1697 nucleotides long. RefSeq lists it as uncharacterized. NCBI's taxonomy places the organism in Eukaryota, Metazoa, Chordata, Mammalia, Rodentia, Cricetidae. The record is from RefSeq and is a predicted model, not a curated record. The transcript is spliced from 2 exons.